CCGAAGACGCGGUAAAUGGCGCUCAGGCCCGGUGCCCCUCGGCCGCACACCCCAUUACGGCCCCGACAGCUGAGUUCCAAACAGUUAAAUAUGAAACUGUCAACAAGGUCCUGUCUUAAUAACCAAACUUGAGGCCUUUUAUCCUGGAAGAUUUAUGAAGUAAUUUUAAAGAGAUCCAAGCGAACAUCUGUCAAUAAAUUGAAUGCCGGCUACAGGAUUUACAAGCAAGACAAGAAUUUCUCAUUAAGUGCACAUUAACACGGUGGGGAUCAUAAAUAGAAGGAGGCCAGGAUGCAGAGCCUCUCAAGCUGUCAUUAAAACACUAUCUAAGAACUAAUGAGGAAGUGAUGGAAGGGUACUAAUGAUGCCUUGGGCUCCCAACCUUUGCCAGUCUGAGAAGGGCCGUGCAGAAUCAGAGGACUCCAGGGAGCCCGGAUGCUGGCCUAGAGCGGCUCCUCGCAGCUCAUUCCACUGUCUGCUCGGACCUGCAGGUCUCCUGUGUCCACCCUGGGGACAGUGGAGGUACCCACAUGACUCCCUGCACUAUCACCCCCGAUGGAGUUCAGCUCCCCCGCGAUGGCCUUCUUCACAUGGUCCCAAAUACACACGUUCAACAAAGGUUUCCAUCCCAACUACUGCACGUAGGAUGCUGUGCUAAUUAAUGUUUCCACGGUGCGAGGGGAAACCUCUGGAAACUUCUUUUUGGCCGAAACAUACCUUUAACAUGCAGAGAGAGCUACCCAUCGAAGCUCUGUGCUCACAAUAGAACUACCUGUUUGCCGAUGUCACCUGGCUCUUCGGCAGUCCGAUUUUCCUUGAACGGAAGUCAGUGUUGUGUUUUCUGCAUGGCGUGUCUACAUUCUACCCUUGGGCAAGACCGUGUCUGCUGAAGUGGCCCUCCUUGAGGCACAGAUACAGGUUAGGGAGGGAUUGCAGCUAGCACAAACUGGGUAUAUUACCCUUGUGGCUGACCAUGGAGCCGCUGAACUAUAGGGAAAAUGAGAUUAAUUACAGGAAAUGGAGACACAUCAAAGGCAAGGAAAUAGCAGACCAGAAGCUUCUGGUUAAAGGGACCGAGUUGAGAACAAAUGGGGGUCAUGUCGAAGUCAACAAAGACAGAGGUCAAAACAGAAAGGAGUGAAGCCAGGUUGGAAGAAGGCUAGUGCCGCUCUCAAAGUUUGGAACCUGCUGUCAGGACCCAAGACGAUGACAGCAGGAGAGCAAGACAUUCAAGGGAAGACUGGGCCACCAACAUUCAAUCAGAGGAGUGCAGAACGAUGGCCCCACAGGGCGAAAUUGUCAUUCGGUUCUCAGAAGACCUCAGCCAGGAGCUCGUCAAGGGCUCCCCCCAUGGCACCCAGGCUGCUCCCCACUACCACGUGCACGGGAUUCUCCGUCUCCCUCUCUCUUGCCUCCUACUUCCCUCUAACUCUCUGCCCAUCAUUCCCGAUCUCAACCUCCCUUGUCCCGUGUCCGUUUCUGUCUCUUGUGAAACACACUCCCCUCUGCUUCCACAGUGCGAAGUUCUGCUUGGCCCCUGGAAGUCUGCUCGCCAGUGUGGUUCCUUCCCCCCCCCCCACCUUUUUCAGGGUCAUUCAAGUGCAAACAGAGAAGAGUAACAGAUUAUAAUGCAGCCCAAUUAAAGUCCUUGGAUGUCACAAGGCACUAAUGUCAACAUAUCGUUUCAGCAGCUGCGCACGACCAGGAAAAAGAAAGUUGAUUUUUGUUUUCUGUUUUCUUUUCCAAAAUCUGAAAGCCUAAAGAGGCUUCCUAGAAACCCGCCGCAGAAAGACGAGACAGAGCGACAAGACAGAGUGCGGGAAAGCACGAACUAUGCAGAUGCGGAGCUCCUGGGAAGCCAUCUCUAAGGAAGGGAUGGAUUUGAUGAGAGACUCAUCAGAGGACCCGGAUGCUCGGCUUUUAACUUAUUUUUGCAAAGCAGGUAUUUUUGCAAACAAGAAUUAGAGAACGGCCUCCAGCUAAAUUGCAGGGAGUCCCUGAAGAGCAAACCCUCAGAGGGGAGAGUCAGUGAAGAAGAAAAUGAAGAUGACAAGGCUGUUGCUUCUUAAUAAACAUGAUCACAUUUUCGGCAUGCAUUAUUUAUUACUUUUCUUUCACUGAUUUAUUGUCCUAAAACAUGUAAUCUAAUAUGGAGGGGAGCACACACAUGCCUUCACAGAUGUCACCGUGACUUUCUUGUGUUUCACAAAAAGCAAAACACAUGACAACAACCUUAAACGGUCAGGAGGUCGCAGGUCGAACUGACCACUGUCCCCAACUUCAUCUGGUUUUUC
Acinonyx jubatus (cheetah) is the source of this 2294-nucleotide long non-coding RNA. RefSeq lists it as uncharacterized. The transcript has 3 exons. Lineage: Eukaryota; Metazoa; Chordata; Mammalia; Carnivora; Felidae. The record is from RefSeq and is a predicted model, not a curated record.